CCUACGGGAGGCAGCAGUGAGGAAUAUUGGUCAAUGGACGCAAGUCUGAACCAGCCAUGCCGCGUGCAGGAAGACGGCUCUAUGAGUUGUAAACUGCUUUUGUACGAGAGUAAACGCAGAUACGCGUAUCUGUCUGACAGUAUCGUACGAAUAAGGAUCGGCUAACUCCGUGCCAGCAGCCGCGGUAAUACGGAGGAUUCAAGCGUUAUCCGGAUUUAUUGGGUUGAAAGGGUGCGUAGGCGGUCGGAUAAGUUAGAGGUGAAAUCCCGAGGCUCAACUUCGGAAUUGCCUCUGAUACUGUGCGGCUAGAGAGUAGUUGCGGUAGGCGGAAUGUAUGGUGUAGCGGUGAAAUGCUUAGAGAUCAUACAGAACACCGAUUGCGAAGGCAGCUUACCAAGCUACUUCUGACGUUGAGGCACGAAAGCGUGGGGAGCAAACAGGAUUAGAUACCCUAGUAGUC
This 460-nucleotide ribosomal RNA is filed under the name uncultured bacterium. RNAcentral's name for it is "partial 16S ribosomal RNA". It matches the Rfam family "Bacterial small subunit ribosomal RNA", at positions 338 to 795 of the family's 1533-position model. The record is from RNAcentral.